GAUCCCUAUGGUUUCGUACAUUUGUUCGACCAUGCAAAUGUUAAGAGAAUUGUCUUACCCUAGACUCAAGUUUCUGGAGCUGCUUCUUGCCACCCUUCAUGGCCAGGUUCUCAGCCUCAUCCAGACGAUGCUGCAAGUCCUUAACAGCCACCUCCAGGUUCUUCUUCAUCCUCUCCAGUUUUGCAGGUGAUGUCAUCAUUCAGCAAUUCACAUCCUUUCUCUCAGUUGUGGGCAGAGAAGAAGAAUUUGUUUCCUUCCAACCCCUGAGGCAGGGUCUGGAUGUCUUUCUCCACUCCAAACUCUGCACGUCCCUGACCUGCCAAAGUGCUCUCUUCCUGUCCCAUGGACAAGCCACAGUGGAGAGAGGCUUCUCAGUAAAUAAGAGGUAGAAACGUGCAACCUCCGUGAUGAAUCUCUUGAAGCCCUCAGGUUAAUCUGUGAUAAGGUAAUUGUCUGAAUGUUCCCCUGACCAAGGAGCUCCUGGCCUCUGCUGCUUCAGCAAGUUCACAACACAGGCUAUACCUUGACAGUGAGCGGAAAAAGAAGAAGAGUGCCACAGAAGAGGUGAUGAGGAAAGCAGCAGAGAAAAAGCUGAAUGACCUCCGGAACCAGCGGCAGGUAUUCAGUAGUGUGUGCCAUUCACUUGAAAAUGAUGCAGACAAGUGUGCAGAGAUGGCUGAGGGAAAGGCAGGAACAAAGAUGGCUGAGCUCAUUACAAAAUCCAACUCUCUUCGAAGAAGACUCAAGGACAAAAAAGCAGAACUUCUCCGUGUGGAAAAAUUGAUAGAAGAAAAGGCCACACAGCUGAGGCACUUGUGACCCUGCCUUGUGUCUAACUGAAAUGUUUGCCUGUUAAUUUCAUUGGUUGUUUAUGAACUCCCUCUCUCCCGCUCUCUCUCUGUUGGACAGUUUUUGCGUCCAGUGUUGAUAAUUAAGUGAUUAACUUUAUUUGCUCUCUUUCAAAUUCCAGUGUGUAGCUCAUUCUAAAGGUCCAGUCUAUCUUCUUAUUGUUAUAAUUACCUUGUUAAAUUGUGGGGGAAAUAUGUUAAUUCAUUGUAGAAAGAUAUUUCAUUACUUUACUUGUCACUUUACUUCACACUUUAUGCUGCUACAGUUGAAGCUUGAAGUGAUGCUGGUAGUAAAAAAUAUUGUGAAGGUAGUAAAAAAGUAAAAAAGGUAAUAAAAGGUAGUAAAUUCAACUUAAGAAUCUCUGUAUAAACCCUGAUCAAAAUA
Scatophagus argus is the source of this 1233-nucleotide long non-coding RNA. RefSeq lists it as uncharacterized. The record is from RefSeq and is a predicted model, not a curated record. Lineage: Eukaryota; Metazoa; Chordata; Actinopteri; Scatophagidae. The transcript is spliced from 2 exons.